GGAGGGAUGGCCCAGUGGCAACGGCACGAGUUCGCUAAACUCGGAUCUCGAAAGGGGUCUCGUGGGUUCGAAUCCCACUCCCUCCG
Molecule: transfer RNA, 86 nt
Filed under: Candidatus Pacebacteria bacterium RIFCSPHIGHO2_01_FULL_46_10
Lineage: Bacteria; Bacillati; Minisyncoccota
Description: tRNA-Ser
Rfam family: tRNA
About the family: Transfer RNA (tRNA) molecules are approximately 80 nucleotides in length. Their secondary structure includes four short double-helical elements and three loops (D, anti-codon, and T loops). Further hydrogen bonds mediate the characteristic L-shaped molecular structure. tRNAs have two regions of fundamental functional importance: the anti-codon, which is responsible for specific mRNA codon recognition, and the 3' end, to which the tRNAs corresponding amino acid is attached (by aminoacyl-tRNA synthetases). tRNAs cope with the degeneracy of the genetic code in two manners: having more than one tRNA (with a specific anti-codon) for a particular amino acid; and 'wobble' base-pairing, i.e. permitting non-standard base-pairing at the 3rd anti-codon position.
Source: RNAcentral